This 88-nucleotide transfer RNA is filed under the name Lentisphaerota bacterium. Its description in RNAcentral is "Lentisphaerae bacterium tRNA-Ser". It matches the Rfam family "tRNA". Rfam says of the family: Transfer RNA (tRNA) molecules are approximately 80 nucleotides in length. Their secondary structure includes four short double-helical elements and three loops (D, anti-codon, and T loops). Further hydrogen bonds mediate the characteristic L-shaped molecular structure. tRNAs have two regions of fundamental functional importance: the anti-codon, which is responsible for specific mRNA codon recognition, and the 3' end, to which the tRNAs corresponding amino acid is attached (by aminoacyl-tRNA synthetases). tRNAs cope with the degeneracy of the genetic code in two manners: having more than one tRNA (with a specific anti-codon) for a particular amino acid; and 'wobble' base-pairing, i.e. permitting non-standard base-pairing at the 3rd anti-codon position. RNAcentral also lists the same sequence under 1 other name. Lineage: Bacteria; Pseudomonadati; Lentisphaerota. The record is from RNAcentral.
GGAAAGAUGGUCGAGUGGUUUAAGGCAGCGGUCUUGAAAACCGCCGGGGCGCAAGCUCCCGAGGGUUCGAAUCCCUCUCUUUCCGCCA